AUACGGAAGGUCCGGGCGUUAUCCGGAUUUAUUGGGUUUAAAGGGAGCGCAGGCGGAGAUGCAAGCGUGACGUCAAAUUUCGGGGCUCAACCCCGUCUCGCGUCGCGAACUGCGUCCCUUGGUUGCGGGAAGGGGAGGCGGAACUCGUGGUGUAGCGGUGAAAUGCAUAGAUAUCACGAAGAACUCCGAUCGCGAAGGCAGCCUUCCGGCCCGUCAACGACGCUCAUGCUCGAAGGUGCGGGUAUCAAACAGGAUUAGAUACCCUGGUAGUCCGCACAGUAAACGAUGGACACCCGCGGUUUGGCCUAUAUGGCUGAGCCGCCAAGCGAAAGCGUUAAGUGUCCCACCUGGGGAGUACGCCGGCAACGGUGAAACUCAAAUGAAUUGACGG
Molecule: ribosomal RNA, 391 nt
Filed under: uncultured bacterium
Lineage: Bacteria
Description: partial 16S ribosomal RNA
Rfam family: Bacterial small subunit ribosomal RNA
Source: RNAcentral